Molecule: long non-coding RNA, 496 nt
Organism: Cololabis saira (Pacific saury)
Lineage: Eukaryota; Metazoa; Chordata; Actinopteri; Beloniformes; Belonidae
Exons: 4
Source: RefSeq, a predicted model, not a curated record
AUUUUAUUCUUUUAUCUCUUCUCCCACCUCAUUGAUAUAACUGUUCUACUGUUUUAAUGUAGACAUCAGAGGAAGAACACAACUAUUGCAGGAAAGAGGCUGAAUUGUGGCCAACAGACACACCACCAAUCUUAAAGCUUCCUAAUGAGAUCCUCACGAUGGUGCUCCUGGAGGUUGUUUUGAGUGAAGGAGACCCAGCAUACAUGCGACUGGCACUGGUGUGCAAGGCAUUUCAAAAUCUCACCAUGAGCCCCAGCUUCAGGGACAAGGCUCACUUUGCUUGGCUAGAUGGAGAGCUCAACUGGGAUAAGUACCCCAAAGUCUACAAGGAGGAAUCCAGGAAGGCAUUUUGCAUAAUAAGGCAUAAGGCAUUUUGCAUAAUCCGGUGCCAUGACUGCGGCGAGAUGUUUAAAGACUGCGUUGGCUUCACUGGCAAUGGCAAACGUGGGGAGUACCCCCGUUAUUACACAGACUGCCUACCAGGUCUCUGUCCCUU